Molecule: unclassified non-coding RNA, 27 nt
Filed under: Mus musculus (house mouse)
Lineage: Eukaryota; Metazoa; Chordata; Mammalia; Rodentia; Muridae
Description: oocyte_clustered_small_RNA310
Source: RNAcentral
UCUGGCACUUUCAGCACAUGUAAGAGU